RNAcentral lists this long non-coding RNA (31656 nucleotides) under Zea mays. RNAcentral's name for it is "long non-coding RNA (ZMAY_LNC001636)". Lineage: Eukaryota; Viridiplantae; Streptophyta; Magnoliopsida; Poales; Poaceae. The record is from RNAcentral.
UACGACGGCUGUUCUCGACAGAUCUAACUUUAGCAAAACCCGAGCCCUAAUGUGGUGGCAGCUACUGAUUAUAUAAGGGUUAGGAGCGGACUCCCUCCCUGGACGCGCCCUAAUGGGCCCAACAAAGAUACACGGCCUAAAGGCCCAUUUAUGGUGUCGCAGCACCGAGACAGAUUACGGACGCCGGUUUGGUCCUCCACCUUGAUCCGAACGUCCUUGCUGGCCUUCUACGCCUCCAAGUCCUUCACCAUGUCCUUUGCUGGUCCUUUCCUUCAUUCCUAAGUACAAUUAAUUCAUUAGGUAGCACACUAUUCUCAAAUGUACAAGAAUAAGUACAUAGGAACGAGCUCCUGCAAAUUCAAUUGUCUUGCGCGUGCGCGAGUAAUCGGACCUUGAACAUCAACUAGGGGAGUGUUGUUUGUAUCCAUGGUAGUGAUGUCCUCAUCACCCCUGCUAUACACAUGAUUUAAUCUUGGGUUACAUCACAUGUACAUGUACCUUUUAGAUCGCUUGCAAAAAGUUGUUUAACUAUCCACGGUAAAGUAUUGUGCUUGCUUCUUACUUCCUUGCAUUUUGGUAUAUAUCAGAGAGCUGAUUUUGGUGGGUGAAGUUAUGGAGGAGAUUGGGUUGGGGCCAAAAGGCGGUCUCCUGUACUAUGGCAUGGAGUCUCCUGUUAUUUUUGGAGUAUCUUUGUUCGCUCUAUAGGCUACCAAAUUUAAGAAAUUGAUUAGUUCUGAACUAAUGCACUUCGACCGGUGCAUUUUUACACUUAUUGCUUACUAAUGGGUUCGAGCUGCAAAGCCUGACUGUUAGGAACUGAAAGUGGAUUUGCUUUACCUUUUUGCACUUGUUUGUUCUGCAAGACUGAUAUUUUGAGUUCCAACUUUUAUCGCACACUAUUUUAAAGGACACCAUUCAUUAUUUUUACCAUUAGAAUAAAAUCCCUAUAAAACGUGGCCAUGCAAUCACUGGUUGUAAACUGAUGGGGCAGAAUGUUGUAGGAUGGAUUGGGUCAAGAACUAAUAAAGCUUACUUAUGACAAUGUAGUAAUUCAUGAAGUUAUUGUUCCUUAUGUUCAUGGAGUUUGUUCUGCAAGUUUUUUCCCCAUCUAUGGUUGAGCAGAGGUUCCUGGAGACCAUGAAGGCCAUACAGGGGGCACUGAUAGUGUCCUCAAGCAUUCAGAUCAUUCUGGGCUACAGCCAGCUGUGGGGUAUUUUCUCCAGGUCGCUUUCCUUCACACUUCGUAGUCCAAGCAUUCUAGCUCUAUUGCUCUUUCCUUCCAAGAGCAAUACCAAUCUACUACCAAGUAGUUCCGUUUCAAUUUUGACUUUUGACAGUUCCUAGGCUAUACUGAAUACUGGUUGGUUCCAUAACGCAUGUCAGAUUCUUCAGCCCAGUGGGGAUGACUCCAGUUGUUGCGCUGCUCGCAUUUGGCCUCUUCGAAAGAGGUUUCCCUGUGGUACCGCUCGCUUUGUCCCAAUCCCCAUUUUGUGUUCCCAACAUGGGUAUGCUGAUGAGGAAUGGCUUGCUCAUCCGAUUGAUGUCUAAUAAUUGCAUCAGGUUGGGAGAUGCGUUGAGAUUGGCCUGCCAAUGCUGAUCCUCUUUGUCGUGCUGUCUCAGGUCUGACUGACAAAAAAACUCCAGAUUAUUCAGUUCUCUCUACGCACCAAAUUCAUGAUCUUGGCAGCGAGUUUAAGCGUACCUGAUCUGUGCAUUUCGGUUGUUUCGCAGUAUCUGAAGAACAAUCCGUCUUUUUUAUUGCUUAUGGCGUUGUGCAUUAUACAUGUCCACCAAUUAUAUACAAAUACCAUUUGAGGGUUACCUCUGGUGUGUUUAGGUAUUCCUCAGAUUCCUGACAUUUUUUUCUGUCUUUAAAUGUCAUAUCACUAUUAAAAAAUUGAUUUUUGUUGUCUAAAAUACCACAACUACUUUUCUAGGUGCGAGCUACAAUCAAAGUUAAGGCAUUAGUCAUCAUUUGCUUCACCUCUUCUGGACAGGCUGCAAGGUAUAUACUACAUAAAUGAAUAUUGUUUGUACAUACAUAUUGUGGGGGACCAUAAUUAGGGGUACCCCCAAGACUCCUAAUCUCAGCUGGUAACCCCCAUCAGCACAAAGCUGCAAAGGCCUGAUGGGCGCAAUUAAGGUCAAGGCUCAGUCCACUCAAGGGACACGAUCUCGCCUCGCCCGAGCCCAGCCUCGAGCAAAGGCAGCCGACCCCGGAGGAUUCACGUCUCGCCCGAGGGCCCCCUCAAGCAACGGACACACCUUCGGCUCGCCCGAGGCCCAGUCUUCGCAGAGAAGCAACCUUGGCCAAAUCACCACGCCAACCGACCGUAUCGCAGGAGCAUUUAAUGCAAGGAUCGCCUGACACCUUAUCCUGACGCGUGCUCUUCAGUCGAUAGAGCCGAAGUGAUCGCAGUCACUUUGCCGCUCCACUGACCGACCUGACAAGAAAACAGCGCUGCCUGCCCCGCUCCGACUGCCGUGCCACUCGCCAGAGUGAGGUCGACAACGGCUAAGUCCAGCCUCGGGCGACAUAGGAAGCUCCGCCUCGCCCGACCCCAGGGUUCGGCCCCCGUUUCGGCCUCGGAAGAUGGACUUCGCCUCGCCCGACCCCAGGGCUCGGACUCAACCACGACUUAGAAGACGACGAACUCCGCCUCGCCCGACCCCAGGGCUCGGACUCAGCCUCGGCUCCGGAAGACGAUGGACUCCGCCUCGCCCGACCCCAGGGCUCGGACACAACCUCAACCUCGGAUGAAUCGCCACCUCGCCCAAACUCGGGUCCGGACCGGCCACGUCGCCAGGGGGGCCAUCAUUACCCUGCCCCUAGCUAGCUCAGGCUACGGGGAACAAGACCGGCGUCCCAUCUGGCUCGCCCCAGUAAACAAGUAAUGAUGACACCCCGCACGCUCCAUGACGACGGCAGCUCCCAGCCCCUUACGUCAGCAAGGAGACGUCAGCAAGGAUCCGACAGCCCCGACAGCUGUACUUCCGCAGGGCUCCAGCGCUCCUCCGACGGCCACGACAUCACAUGAACAGGGUGCCAAAACCUCUCCGACUGCCACGACGGCAUGUACUUAGGGCUCUAGCUCCUCUCUCCUAGACACAUUAGCACACUGCUACACCCCCCAUUGUACACCUGGACCCUCUCUUUACGCCUAUAAAAGGAAGGUCCAGGGCUCUCGUACGAGAAGGUUGGCCGCGCGGGAGAACGGGCCGACGCAUAAGGCCCUCGCUCUCUCUCUCUCUCUCUCUCCCACGCGAACGCUUGUAACCCCCUACUGCAAGCGCAUCCAUCCACCCUAGGCACAGGACAACACGAAGGCCAUGGUUUCCCCUUACUGUUCUCCCCCUUUGUGUCCCGUCUCGCGCCGACCCAUCUGGGCUGGGACAUGCAGCGACAAUUUACUCGUCGGUCCAGGGACCCCCCGGGGUCGAAACGCCGACAAUUGGCGCACCAGGUAGGGGACUGUUGCGUGUUGACGAACAACUUCCCGUCAAGCUCCAGAUGGGUAGUCUCCAGCAACCUUUCCAACCCGGGACAAUGCUCCGUUUUGGGAGUCUUGAGUUCAUGUCCCUCGACGGCAGCUACAACAUGAUACUCCUUCCUCCGCCGCGCGACAGCGACAAUGGCGGCCGUCAGCCCGCCCGCCGGCGGCAGAAUCAAUGACGUCUUCCCCACAUGGCGGAAGAACAACAUCCGGGUUUGUCCCGUCACCUCCCCCACCGACGGAGGAGGAGGCGGGGCAACCAUGCCCAAGCAGGAGGCGGCACCUCAUCGGCUGUCGAGCAAGUCGACGACGCCGGCGCCCCAGCGGGGGACAUGUCGGGCUUUGACCUUGCGUCUGAGACGAAGACGAGCGUCGUUUCCCCGAAACACGCCAACCCCAAGCAUACGAACGACGCCAGCACGCUCGCGAAGGACUUGCUGGGCGACGCCCUCGUACCUGAGACAACGGUGCAGUCCGCCCCUGACGCGACUUCGUCACCGCCCGUCGACCAAGAGGUACCGACCGAUUCCCAUCUCGUGCCUUUUGGAUUCAGCUUCGACCCACCAAGCGACCUCGCUUCGGUGGAAGCCUUCAUAGAGGCAUGUACCAACCCUCCGGGGUACCAUAUGCGGUCGCCCUGGGACAGACUGACGGCCGUCUCGACCUACGGACCCUCGGGUUCCGAGGAAGAUGACGAGCCCGACUUUUGUUGGGAUUUUGUAACGCCCUGAAUUUAGGGGGUAGAUUUUUUUUCUUCUUUUCCCUCACCAAAUUCAGGCGUUACCCUUUCCUUUUCCCUUUUCUCCUCGCUAAACCUUGAUCUUUUCCAAAGUUAUAGCAGGAUUCGGAUUGAGAUCCCAUGUAAAGCAAAACCCUAAAAGUAUUUUAUUUUGCUUGAUGCACCAUGCCGAACCAUGCAUUCUUUUGAUUGUUUAAAAAUGUAAAUGCAUUCAUCUAGGAAAAUAGAUUUUUGAAAAAAGGAAAAUCCUUUCCUCUCUCCCCUUCCCCCCCUCCUUCCCCAUUUUUGGCCCAGCCGCCCCCCUCCCCCUCGUGCCCGGCCCAGCCGCGCCCCCUCCCCUUUCCCUCCCCCGCGCCGUGGGCCGCCCCGGCCGGCCCAGCCGCUCCCCCCUGCGCGCCCCGCUUUGGGCCCAAGCGGCCCAGCCGCGCCCCCUCCCCCCUCCCCCCAAAAAUUUCCCUCCCCGCGGGCCCCGCCCGUCAUUCUCUCUCCCUCUCCCCUGCCCUAACCGCCGCCGCCGCCGCCGCGCCGCCCUCCCUCGCCGCGGCGAGGCCCCCUCCCCUCUUCUCCCUCCCCCUUCCCCGCCCGCCCGGCAGCCCUCGCGCCGCCCGGCGAGCCGUCCCCGGCCGCCCCGCGCCCGCCCCAGCUCGGCCGCCCCCGCCCCGACCUCGAUCGCCCCCGCCUCGCCCCGUUCCUGGCCAUGGCGCCCCCGCCCCGGCUCCGGCCAUCCCCGGCCGCGCCCGCCUCGGCUCCGGCCAUGGCGCCGCCGCCCCGGCCCCGGCCGCCCUUGCCCCGUGCGCGCCGCCCGGCCCCAGCCGCGCCGCCCCACGCCGCCCGGCCCCGUCCCGGCCGCGCCCGGCCGUGCCACCCCGGCCCCGGCCGCCCUCGUCCCGGCCCCGGCCAUGCCCCGCUGUGGUCCGCGGCGUCCUCGCUCGCCCGUGCUCGCUCGCCCCGGCGUGCUUGCCCGCUCGCCCCGCCGUGUCCUGCUCGCGUCGUGACGGCCCCGACGCGGCCUUGAGCUCGGCUAGCGCGCGGCCCCGACGUGUGCACGGUUAGUUCGCGGCGCGUGCGUGCGGCCUUGCGCGCGUGCUCGCGUAGUGCGCAAUGCCUUGGCACGACUCGUCACGCCCUCGUCUACCCCCUCCAUAUUUUAUGCGCGCUAAUUACGAUUGUUCAUGUUAAUAAAAUAGGAAACUCAAUUUAGAAAUUGGUUACGUUAGUUAAUUUAUAUAGCUAAUCGUCUAUCUCAUUUAAUAUUAAUCUACUAAAAGUGGUCACGUUUCUAGUAGUGCAUGUAGCUAAUCCUUAUUAUUGGAGCUAAGUAGAACUAGAGCACGUAACGUCUAGUUAUUCGUCCACCCGUAAUGCGCCUCGAGCACAAACUUUAACCCCUGCGAGACCUUUCCCCGUUUCUUUCUAACCAUGGUAAAUGCAAUAUCGUAUACCAUAUUUUAUGCAUGUUUAAUCUAUUUGUUUUCUUGUAUGAUGUACUGUUUGUUUCCUAAUUUGAAUGGAUGGAUGUAUGUGUGUUUGCACUCGCAUAGAGAACGAUCCGGUUGAAGAGCCCGAAGAACUCGCAGGAGAAGCCCCUGAGCAGCAGUCGGUUGGUGGAGGCAAGUGUCCCUUGACCUAUCUCUGUCCUAUUCAUUCUUUAAUUCACCUCCCGCAUUACACAUUUAUGCCUAAGGAUUGACUAGCUUUUGUUAUCCAUGUCCUUGUUUACCUAUUUGGGUUGGAUUAUUAUUGGUUAGUUUUAUGCUAUUGCUUAACAUUAAUCAAUUAACAUGAUGAGAAUUACUUAUGAUACGCUGUUUUCCCCUCUUUUAUUAUGAUGUUAUAUUUGUGACCUUCAAGGGGGCUCGAGCGGUUUCUCGAGUACCUCUCCGUAAGGACCUGUUCGUUGGAUGACCGCCCGGGAAAAACAGUGCAACCAUGAGGGUGGAGUGGGAUGCCCUUAGCUGAGUAAUUAGAGGAACCGGGGUGUAGUUCGCUUAGCCGUCGUGCCGUCAAUGGGGCUCGGUGUAUGCGGCUCGCUCUGCCAAGGUUGAUUUGUCCCUUGGGGUGGAGUGCGGUACAUUUAGGAAACCUAACGGGCGGCUAUAGCCUCGGGGAAUCUUUGUAAAGGCUACGUAGUGAUGCCCUGCUGGACCACCUAGGUAGUGGUCAAUGGGGAGUAGCUCUCUCCGGGCAGAAAGGGAAUCACGGCUUGUGGGUAAAGUGCACAACCUCUGCAGAGUGUUAUGAAAACUGAUAUAUCAGCCGUGCUCGCGGUUAUGAGCGGCCAAGGGAGCUCCAGUGAUUAGUGGUACUUGAUCAGAGACAUUUUGGUUUACAGGUGGCAAUGAGAUUGAUGGUUCUGGCUAUGACUAUGGUGCUGGUAAGCGGUAUUCUUUCCGUUUGGAAAGGGUACAUCGGGCUAAUAACUUGGGUUAAUGUUAAAACCUGGCUUUCUACUAGUAAAUAAUAAUCUGACCAACUAAAAGCAACUGCUUGACUUACCCCCACAUAAAGCUAGUCCACUACAGCCAAACAUGAUACUUGCUGAGUAUGUUGAUGUGUACUCACCCUUUCUCUACACACCAAACCCCUCCUCAGGUUGUCCGCAUUGCAACCAUUGCUCAGGAGAAGAUGAAGCCGUGGAAGGAGACUUCCAGGAAUUCCAAGACUACGACGAGUUCUAGGUGUGGGUUAGCGGCAACCCCCAGUCGGCUACCUGUGAAGGCCACAGUUAUCUACGUUUCAUUUUCGCACUUUGAUUAUUGUAAAGACUAUGUGGAUGUCUCAGACAUAUGAUGUAAUCGACUAUUAUUUCCCUUUUUAAUACUAUUUGAGCACUAUGUGAUGAUGUCCACGUUAUGUAACUGCUGUGUACGUGAAUUGCUGAUCCUGGCACGUACAUGGUUCACAUUCGGUUUGCCUUCUAAAACCGGGUGUGACAUAGGUGGUAUCAAAGCCGUGCUGACUGUAGGACCGCUAACCUAGAGUAGAAUGGUCGUUCUAAGGACUAUAGACCUCUGUCCCUGCCUUGACUUUGAUAUCCCUUCAAAAGUUGGUCAUAUUGACCAAACUAUGUUCUACUAUAUAUUAUACCUUGCUGAAAUUUGUGUUUUAUUCUAAUCCUUCAUUUAUUCAUGAUUCAUUACUUGCUGGUCAUACUAAUUCUGUUCUCACUCUUUUGCUUGCGGUGUCUUUUGUAGAUGGCUCGUCUUAGACACACUGCACGGAAGUCCGUCAUCCCCUUCUUACCCUCCCGCCUUGCUGAGCGUCCGCUUCGCCGUCCCGUGGCCGGACAGUCCAGCCAUUUGGAGAGGCUGCACCACCGCCUGCAUGAGGAGCAGGAACGUCGACGACAGGAGCAGCAAGGCUCUUCUUUCUCGCUCCAGCAGGAGAUAGAGUCUGUGAGGAGCUGCUCCCCUGUGCUUCCCCUGGAGGCGCCCCCUGCACCACCACUGGGCGCCCCAGCCUCUGGAGUAGCUGCUGGAGGAGACCCAGACGACGGAGGUGGCGACGACAGCUCGAGCCACGACACCGACUUCCCUGCUGACCAGGAGCCGGAAGGAUGGGUUGCUCGACCCAUCACUCGCGACGCUGCUCGCGGGUGUCACUUCCACGAUGCGCUCGACACCCUGCUACGUCAAGCACUUGACCGGCGUACUUGGUCCAUCGAGUAUCGCUGUGUGGUCUACCAGCAUAGUCGCGGGGUCUACCCGGACCGCUGGGAGGCGACCUACUUGGUGCGCCGUCCGGAGAACAGUCUCUGGGGUGCUGAGGUCUGCUCGGAGCACUAUUCCAUCUCUGAGCGGGACUCAGCUGAGGCGGCCAUGCAAGAUGCUGCACGGCGUGCGCUUUCGCACUACUGCUCAGUGCUCGGUGGGGUAGCUGAUGGUCUCAACCUGAAGUACUACCCCCGCCGUCCAUCUGGCAGCACAGGAGGCGUGAUUGUCUCACCUGUUGGUGAGGACAAUCCUAGGUUGAGCAGCAUAGUCAACCUAGCCGCCAUGCUAAACACAGAGCUGGACCAUGCAUUAGACGAGCUGAGUAGGGCUCGUGCUGAGAUCGCCCUGCUGCGGGCUGAGCGCGCGGAGCAUCGUCACCUGGAUGAUGGUUCCCCCGCUCCCGUCGGGACUCAGCACCCGUACCGCUCACCUCGGCGUGGACACCAGUCUUAUGGCAAUCCCGACUGCAAGACCAAGAUAAAUUUAGAGCCAUAGAUCGUCAGAGUCGGAUCUUGUAAUUAAUACGAAAUAUAUACAUAGAAGCUAUAGUCUUAGCGUUAGUCUCGCUCUUAGUUAGUCUUAGUUAGACAGGGUAGUUUGCUAUAUCCUGUGCAUUUAUGUUUGUCAUGAUGAACUAUGUUUGAUUUGGAUCUUUGUAAUGACUGUCACCAGGAUGUGGGUAUCCCCUGCAUUUUGGUUUACCUGUUAUAUGUUAAUGUAGUUAGUUAUUUAGUUGGGAAGCCUUUUAUUCCACUUUCCUCUUUAUCUGAGAAGCUGUGUUGGUCUGUGUUGGAGAUCAGUGAAGAUGCUCAUCUGUUCAGUGUUAUGGAGAAUUCUAUACUCUUUUCUCAUGCUGCAAGAUUUGCAAGAUCAGUUCUGAUGUGUGGUUGCGUUCUGCAGAUGUCAGAAAACAGGCGCAGAGGAGGAAGGCGUGCUCAGCAGGAGCAGGCAGCUCAGCACGAUGAGGUGCCCCAGCAGCAGCACCUGCCGCCCCCGCCCCCGCCCCCGAUGUCCAUCGAGCAGAUGUUCCUAAUGCAGACUCAGGCAGUUCAAGCUAUUGGUCAGACUCUGGCCGCCAUUCAUUAGCAGCAGCAACAACAGCCACCACCUCAACCUCAGAUGCCUCAGAUGCCCAGAGACAAGCGUGCUGAAUUCAUGAGAGGUCAUCCCCCAACAUUUGCUCACUCUUUUGACCCCAUGGAUGCGGAAGACUGGCUGCGCACUGUGGAGCGGGAGUUGCAUACCGCUCAGUGUGAUGACAGGGAGAAAGUCCUGUAUGGUCCCCGUCUGUUGAGAGGAGCAGCUCAGUCAUGGUGGGAGUCUUAUCUCGCCACCCAUGCCCACCCCGACACCAUCACCUAGGAAGAGUUCAGAGGUAGCUUUCGUCAGUACCAUGUUCCUGCAGGUCUGAUGACAGUAAAGAAGGAGGAGUUCUUGGCCCUCAAGCAAGGGUCAUCGUCUGUUAGCGAGUACCGGGAUAGGUUUCUGCAGUUGUCUCGCUAUGCACCUGAAGAUGUCAACACCGACGCCAAGAGACAAUACCGUUUCCUAAGAGGCUUGGUUGACCCUCUUCAGUAUCAGCUGAUGAAUCAUACUUUCCCGACAUUUCAGCACUUGAUUGACAGAGCAAUCAUGACAGAGAGGAAGCGCAAAGAGAUGGAGGAUCGCAAGCGCAAGAUCAGUGGACCCCAACCUGGAAGCAGCAGCCGUCCUCGUUUCUCAGGCAAUCAACCUCAGCAGUUCAGGCAGAACCAGCGUCCACCUCAGCAGCAGCAGUUCCAAAGGCAGUAUCCUCAGCACCAGUAUCAGAAUCGUCAGAACAAUCAGUCAGGAGGAGGUCAGUUCCAGAGGCAGAAUCAGCAGGCACCUCGCCUUCCUACCCUAGCAAGCCAGCAGAACAGUCAGGCAGCACCAGCUCAAGUGGGAAACAGGGCAUGUUUCCACUGUGGAGAGCAAGGCCACUGGGUGAUGCAAUGUCCGAAGAAGGCAGCCCAGCAGCAGUCAGGCCCAAUGCCCCAACAAAGCAGAAUGUGUCUCAGCCUGGAGCAGGCAACCGCUCUCAGCCGCGCUAUAAUCAUGGGAGACUGAAUCACUUGGAGGCUGAAGCAGUUCAGGAGACCCCCGGCAUGAUAGUAGGUAUGUUCCCAGUCGACUCCCAUAUUGCAGAAGUGUUAUUUGAUACUGGAGCAACACAUUCUUUCAUUACUGCAUCAUGGGUAGAAGCACAUAAUCUUCCAAUAACUACCAUGUCAACCCCCAUUCAAAUUGACUCAGCCGGUGGUAGAAUUCGAGCCGAUAGCAUUUGUUUGAAUAUAAGUGUGGAAAUAAGGGGAAUAGCGUUUCCCGCCAACCUCAUAGUAAUGGGUACUCAGGGAAUAGAUGUCAUCCUAGGGAUGAAUUGGCUAGAUAAGUAUCAGGCAGUUAUCAGUUGUGAUAAGAGGACAAUCAAGUUGGUGUCCCCACUAGGAGAGGAAGUGGUGACCGAGUUAGUCCCGCCUGAGCCAAAGAAAGGAAGUUGUUAUCGGAUGGCUAUCGAUAGCAGUGAAGCAGACCCAAUUGAGAGUAUCAAGAUUGUGUCGAAGUUUCCAGAUGUGUUUCCCAAGGACUUACCGGGUAUGCCACCAGAGUAGAAAGUUGAAUUUGCCAUAGAGCUUCUUCCUGGAACCGCCCCCAUCUUUAAGAGAGCUUACAGAAUAUCCGGACCAGAAUUGGUUGAACUUAAGAAGCAGAUCGAUGAGCUGUCAGAGAAAGGUUACAUUCGGCCAAGCACCUCGCCUUGGGCCGCCCCUAUCCUAUUUGUGGAGAAGAAGGAUGGCACCAAAAGGAUGUGUAUCGAUUAUCGAGCUCUGAAUGAGGUCAUGAUCAAGAACAAGUAUCCUUUGCCCAGAAUAGAAGACCUGUUCGACCAGUUGAGAGGAGCCACUGUGUUCUCCAAGAUUGAUCUGAGGUCAGGUUAUCAUCAACUCAGGAUUCGACCUUCGGACAUUCCGAAGACGGCAUUCAUUACCAAGUAUGGUUUGUAUGAGUUCACUGUGAUGUCUUUUGGUUUGACCAAUGCACCAGCCUUCUUCAUGAACUUGAUGAACAGUGUAUUCAUGGACUAUCUUGAUAAGUUUGUGGUGGUAUUUAUUGAUGAUAUUCUGAUUUAUUCUCAAAGCAAAGAGGAGCAUGCGGAUCAUUUGAGGAUGGUAUUGCAGAGAUUGCGAGAGCACCAGUUGUAUGCAAAGUUGAGCAAGUGUGAGUUCUGGAUCAGUGAAGUCCUGUUCUUGGGUCACAUAAUCAACAAAGAAGGAUUGGCUGUGGAUCCGAAGAAAGUGGCAGACAUUCUGGACUGGAAAGCGCCAACAGAUGCUCGAGGGAUCAAGAGCUUCAUUGGAAUGGCCGGAUAUUACCGGCGAUUCAUUGAAGGGUUUUCGAAAAUUGCGAAACCAAUGACAGCGUUGCUAGGCAACAAGGUUGAGUUCAAGUGGACCCAGAAAUGUCAAGAGGCCUUUGAAGCGCUGAAAGAGAAGUUGACUACAACGCCUGUCCUAGUCUUGCCUGAUGUGCACAAGCCCUUCUCGGUGUAUUGUGAUGCUUGUUACACUGGUUUGGGAUGUGUGUUGAUGCAAGAGGGAAGAGUUGUGGCUUACUCGUCCCGACAGCUGAAGGUUCAUGAGAAGAAUUACCCAAUCCAUGACCUAGAGUUGGCAGCGGUGGUUCACGCAUUGAAGACAUGGACGCACUAUCUGUAUGGACAGAAAUGCGAUGUUUACACAGACCACAAGAGUCUGAAGUACAUAUUCACUCAGACAGAGCUGAAUAUGAGGCAGCGAAGAUGGUUAGAGUUGAUCAAAGACUAUGAGUUGGAGAUCCAUUACCAUCCAGGCAAAGCGAACAUAGUGGCAGAUGCUUUGAGCAGGAAGAGUCAGGUCAAUCUGAUGGUUGCUCGUCCGAUGCCUUAUGAGUUGGCCAAAGAGUUUGACAGGUUGAGUCUCGGAUUUCUAAAUAAUUCGCGAGGAGUCACAAUUGAGUUGGAACCUACCCUAGAGCGAGAAAUCAAAGAAGCGCAGAAGAAUGAUGAGAAGAUCAGUGAGAUCCGGCGACUGAUUCUAGAUGGUAGAGGCAAAGAUUUUCAGAAAGAUGCAGAAGGUGUGAUAUGGUUCAAAGACCGCCUGUGCGUUCCCAAUGUCCAGUCUAUUCGGGAGUUGAUUCUCAAGAAAGCUCAUGAGACAGCUUAUUCGAUUCACCCUGGUAGUGAGAAGAUGUAUCAGGAUCUGAAGAAGAAAUUCUGGUGGUACGGAAUGAAGAGGGAAAUCGUAGAGUAUGUGGCUAUGUGUGAUAGUUGUCGGCGGAUCAAGGCAGAGCACCAGAGACCAGCUGGAUUGUUGCAACCGUUGCAAAUUCUUCAGUGGAAAUGGGAUGAAAUUGGUAUGAAUUUUAUAGUCGGAUUGCCUCGCACUCGAGCCGGCUACGAUUCCAUUUGGGUAGUGGUGGACCGUUUGACCAAGUCAGCCCACUUCAUACCUGUCAAGACCAACUACAACAGUGCAGUAUUGGCAGAGCUGUACAUGUCUCGGAUCGUUUGUCUCCACGGUGUGCCAAAGAAGAUAGUGUCAGACAGAGGAACUCAAUUCACCUCUCAUUUCUGGCAGCAGUUGCAUGAAGCCUUGGGCACGCAUCUGAAUUUCAGUUCAGCCUAUCAUCCGCAGACAGAUGGUUAGACUGAAAGGACCAAUCAAAUCCUUGAAGACAUGUUAAGAGCCUGUGCGUUGCAAGAUCAGUCCGGAUGGGACAAGAAGUUGUCGUAUGCAGAGUUCUCCUAUAACAACAGUUACCAGGCCAGUUUGAAGAUGUCACCAUUCCAGGCGCUCUAUGGAAGGAGUUGUAGAACUCCAUUGCAAUGGGAUCAGCCUGGAGAAAAGCAAGUGUUCGGGCCAGACAUUUUGCUUGAAGCUGAGGAGAACAUCAAGAUGGUUCGAGAGAAUCUAAAGAUAGCGCAAUCAAGGCAGCGAAGCUAUGCAGAUACAAGAAGAAGAGAGCUGAAUUUCGAAGUUGGAGACUUCGUCUAUCUGAAAGUGUCACCGAUCAGAGGAGUCAGAAGAUUCGGAGUCAAAGGCAAGCUAGCACCCUGCUACAUCGGUCCGUAUCAAAUUCUCGCAAAGCGUGGAGAAGUGGCUUAUCAGCUCAGUUUGCCAGGAAAUUUGUCUGCUGUGCAUGAUGUCUUUCAUGUGUCUCAAUUGAAGAAGUGCUUGCGUGUGCCAGAAGAGCAAUUGCCAGUUGAAGGUCUUGAAGUCCAGGAGGACUUGACCUACGUUGAGAAGCCAACGCAAAUCCUUGAGACCGCAGACAGAGUCACCCGAAGGAAGACCAUCAGAAUGUGCAAAGUCAGAUGGAAUCAUCACUCUGAGGAAGAAGCAACCUGGGAGCGCGAAGAUGAUCUGAUGGCCAAAUACCCUGAGCUCUUUGCUAGCCAACCCUGAAUCUCGAGGGCGAGAUUCUUUUAAGGGGGAUAGGUUUGUAACGCCCUGAAUUUGGGGGGUAGAUUUUUUUCUUCUUUUCCCUCACCAAAUUCAGGCGUUACCCUUUCCUUUUCCCUUUUCUCCUCGCUAAACCUUGAUCUUUUCCAAAGUUAUAGCGGGAUUCGGCUUGAGAUCCCAUGUAAAGCAAAACCCUAAAAGUAUUUUAUUUUGCUUGAUGCACCAUGCUGAACCAUGCAUUCUUUUGAUUGUUUAAAAAUGUAAAUGCAUUCAUCUAGGAAAAUAGAUUUUUGAAAAAAGGAAAAUCUUUUCCUCUCUCCCCUUCCCCCCCUCCUUCCCCAUUUUUGGCCCAGCCGCCCCCUCCCCCUCGUGGCCAGCCCAGCCGGCCGGCCCAGCCGCGCCCCCCCUCCCCUUUCCCUCCCCCGCGCCGUUGGCCGCCCCGGCCAGCCCAGCCGCUCCCCCCGCGCGCGCCCCGCUUUGGGCCCAAGCGGCCCAGCCGCGCCCCCUCCCCCUCCCCCCAAAAAUUUCCCUCCCCGCGGGCCCCGCCCGUCAUUCUCUCCCCCUCUCUCCCUCUCCCCUGCCCUAACCGCCACCGCCGCCCUCUCCCUGCGCCGCUGCCGCCGCCGCGCCACCCUCCCUCGCCGCGGUAAGGCCCCCUCCCCUCUUCUCCCUCCCCUCCCUCCCCCUUCCCCACCCGCCCGGCCGCCCUCGCGCCGCCCGGCGAGCCAUCCCCGGCCGCCCCGCGCCCGCCCCGGCUCGGCCGCCCCCGCCCCAACCUCGAUCGCCCCCGCCUCGCCCCGUUCCCGGCCAUGGCGCCCCCGCCCCGGCUCCGGCCGUCCCCGGCCGCGCCCGCCUCGGCUCCGGCCAUGGCGCCGCCGCCCCGGCCCCGGCCGCCCUCGCCCCGUGCGCGCCGCCCGGCCCCGCCUCGGCCCCGGCCGCGCCGCCCCGCGCCGCCCGGCCCCGUCCCGGCCGCACCCGGCCGUGCCACCCCGGCCCCGGCCGUGCCCCGCUGUGGUCCGCGGCGUCCUCGCUCGUCCGUGCUCGCUCGCCCCGCCGUGUCCUGCUCGCGUCGUGACGGCCUCGACGCGGCCUCGAGCUCAGCCCGGCAUGCCUAUGGCGCGCGGCCCCGACGUGUGCACGGUUAGUUCGCGGCGCGUGUGUGCGGCCUUGCGCGCGUGCUCGCGUAGUGCGCAAUGCCUUGGCACGACUCGUCACGCCCUCGUCUACCCCCCCAUAUUUUAUGCGCGCUAAUUAUGAUUGUUCAUGUUAAUAAAAUAGGAAACUCAAUUUAGAAAUUGGUUACGUUAGUUAAUUUAUAUAGCUAAUCGUCUAUCUCAUUUAAUAUUAAUCUACUAAAGUGGUCACGUUUCUAGUAGUGCAUGUAGCUAAUCCUUAUUAUUGGAGCUAAGUAGAACUAGAGCACGUAACAUCUAGUUAUUCGUCCACCCGUAAUGCGCCUCGAGCACAAACUUUAACCCCUGUGAGACCUUUCCCCGUUUCUUUCUAACCAUGGUAAAUGCAAUAUCGUAUGCCAUAUUUUAUGCAUGUUUAAUCUAUUUGUUUUCUUGUAUGAUGUACUGUUUGUUUCCUAAUUUGAAUGGAUGGAUGUAUGUGUGUUUGCACCCGCAUAGAGAACGAUCCGGUUGAAGAGCCCGAUGAACUCGCACGAGAAGCCCCUGAGCAGCAGUCGGUUGGUGGAGGCAAGUGUCCCUUGACCUAUCUCUGUCCUAUUCAUUCUUUAAUUCACCUCCCUCAUUACACAUUUAUGCCUAAGGAUUGACUAGCUUUUGUUAUCCAUGUCGUUGUUUACCUAUUUGGGUUGGAUUAUUAUUGGUUAGCUUUAUUUUAUUGCUUAACAUUAAUCAAUUAACAUGAUGAGAAUUACUUAUGAUACGCUGUUUUCCCCUCUUUUAUUAUGAUGUUAUAUUUGUGACCUUCAAGGGGGCUCGAGCGGUUUCUCGAGUGCCUCUCCAUAAGGACCUGUUCGUUGGAUGACCGCCCGGGAAAAACAGUGCAACCAUGAGGGUGGAGUGAGUCGCCCUUAGCUGAGUAAUUAGAGGAACCGGGGUGUAGUUCGCUUAGCCGUCGUGCCGUCAAUGGGGCUCGGUGUAUGCGGCUCGCUCUGCCAAGGUUGAUUUGUCCCUUGGGGAGGAGUGCGGUACAUUUAGGAAACCUAACGGGCGGCUACAGCCUCGGGGAAUCUUUGUAAAGGCUUCGUAGUGAUGCCCAGCUGGACCACCUAGGUAGUGGUCAAUGGGGAGUAGCUCUCUCCGGGCAGAAAGGGAAUCACGGCUUGUGGGUAAAGUGCACAACUUCUGCAGAGUGUUAUGAAAACUGAUAUAUCAGCCGUGCUCGCGGUUAUGAGCGGCCAAGGGAGCUCCAGUGAUUAGUGGUACUUGAUCAGAGACAUUUUGGUUUACAGGUGGCAAUGAGAUUGAUGGUUCUAGCUAUGACUAUGGUGCUAGUAAGUGGUAUUCUUUCCGUUUGGAAAUGGCACAUCGGGCUAAUAAAUUGGGUUAAUGUUAAAACCUGGCUUUCUACUAGUAAAUAAUAAUCUGACCAACUAAAAGCAACUGCUUGACUUACCCCCACAUAAAGCUAGUCCACUACAGCCAAACAGGAUACUUGCUGAGUAUGUUGAUGUGUACUCACCCUUGCUCUACACACCAAACCCCCCCCCCUCAGGUUGUCCGCAUUGCAACCAUUGCUCAGGAGAAGAUGAAGCCGUGGAAGGAGACUUCCAGGAAUUCCAAGACUACGACGAGUUCUAGGUGUGGGUUAGCGGCAACCCCCAGUCGGCUGCCUGUGAAGGCCGCAGUUAUCUACGUUUCGUUUUCGCACUUUGAUUAUUGUAAAGACUAUGUGGAUGUCUCAGACAUAUGAUGUAAUCGACUAUUAUUUCCCUUUUUAAUACUAUUUGAGCACUGUGUGAUGAUGUCCACGUUAGGUAACUGCUGUGUACGUGAAUUGCUGAUCCUGGCACGUACAUGGUUCACAUUCGGUUUGCCUUCUAAAACCGGGUGUGACAGAUUUCUCCGGGCUCGGUAACCCCAGUGCCAUGCGGGACUUCAUGACCGCAUGCGACUACUGCCUCUCCGAUUGUUCCGAUGGUAGCCGCAGCUUCGGCGACGAGGAUUGCAGCCCAAGUCGUGAAUGUUUCCACGUCGAUCUAGGGGGUCCCGGCGAAGGCAACCAUCUUGGUAUCCUGGAAAACGGCGAUCCCCCUAGGCCUGCGCCUCGCGUUGACAUCCUUCGGGAGCUAGCUGUGGUCCCAGUCCCUGCGGGGGGUCAGGACGCACAGCUCGAGCAAAUCCGCGAGAUGCAGGCCUGGCUCGACGAGGAAGCAGGAACACUUGAGCAGUUCCGGUGGAACACCGGGCAGGAAUGGGCAGACCAAGCUCCGGCCCGAGAAGCGCGUCAUCUACCCCAGGGCAUCCAGCACCGCAUUACCGACGACGUCAGGGCAAGGCCGCCACUGGCUUCCAGUGGGGUCGGCCAGAACCUGGCUACAACAGCAAUACUACUCCGCGCGAUGCCGGAACCAUCAACCAUCGAAGGGCGGCGUAUCUAGGGAGAGCUCAAGAAUCUCCUGGAGGAUGCCGCGGUCCGACGGGCCGAAAGCUCUGCCUCCCGAAGGCAGGGGUACCCCUCGGAGCAUCGCGCCGCGACUUCCUGAUUCGUGCGGGAAGCCUCGAUCCACACCGGGCGCACGCGCAACACGGCGCCUGCGGCCCCGGGUCGCCUCGGCAACGAGCACCACCACCGCAACCGUCGAGCCCACCUCGACGAGAGGGUGCGCUGAGGCUACCACCCCAGGCGUGGGGGAAGCUAUGACAGCGGGGAGGAUCGGAGCCCCUCGCCCGAACCACCCGGUCCGCAGGCUUUCAGCCGAGCCAUACGACGGGCGCCGUUCCCGACCCAGUUCCGAACCCCGACUACCAUCACAAAGUACUCGAGGGAGACGAGGCCGGAACUAUGGCUCGCGGACUACCGAUUGGCCUGCCAGCUGGGUGGAACGGACGAUGACAACCUCAUCAUCCGCAACCUCCCCCUGUUCCUCUCCGACACCGCUCGAACUUGGCUGGAGCAUCUGCCUCCGGGGCAGAUCUCCAACUGGGACGACCUGGUCCAAGCCUUCGCCGGCAACUUCCAGGGCACGUACGUGCGCCCUGGGAACUCCUAGGAUUUACGAAGCUGCCGCCAGCAGCCGAGAGAGUCUCUCCGGGACUACAUCCAGCGAUUCUCGAAGUAGCGCACCGAGCUACCCAAUGUCACCAACUCGGACGUCAUCGGCGCGUUCCUCGCCAGCACCACCUGCCGCGACCUGGUGGGCAAGCUAGGUCGCAAGACCCCCACCAGGGCGAGCGAGCUGAUGGACAUCGCCACCAAGUUCGCCUCUGGCCAGGAGGCGGUUGAGGCCAUCUUCCGAAAGGACAAGCAGCCCCAGGGCCGCCAGCCGAAAGACGUCCCCGAGGCAUCCGCUCAGUGCGACACUAAGAAGAAGAACAAGAAGAAGUCGCAAGCGAAACGCGACGCCACCGAUGCGGACCUUGUCACCGCCGCUGAGUACAAGAACCCUCGGAAACCUCCUAGAGGUGCCAAUCUCUUCGAUAAGAUGCUCAAGGAGCCAUGCCCCUAUCAUCAAGGGCCCAUCAAGCACACCCUUGAGGAGUGUGUCAUGCUUCGGCGCCACUUUCACAAGGCCGGGCCACCUGCGGAAGGUGGCAGGGCCCACAACAACGACAAGAAGGAGGAUCACAAGGCAGAGGUGUUUCCCGAGGUCCACGACUGCUUCAUGAUCUACGGUGGGCAAGUGGCGAACGCCUCGGCUCGGCACCGCAAGCAAGAGCGUCGGGAGGUCUUCUCGGUAAAGGUGGCGGCGCCAGUCUACCUAGACUGGUCCGACAAGCCCAUCACCUUCGACCAGGGCGACCACCCCGACCGCGUGCCGAGCCCGGGGAAAUAUCCGCUCGUUGUCGACCUCGUCAUCAGCAACAUCAGGCUCACCAAGGUCCUCAUGGACGGAGGCAGCAGCCUCAACAUCAUCUACGCAGAGACCCUCGGGCUCCUGCAGAUCGAUCUGUCCUCGAUCCGGACAGGCGCAACACCUUUUCACGGGAUCAUCCCCGGGAGACGCGUCCAACCCCUCGGACAACUUGAUCUGCCCGUCUGCUUCAGGACUCCCUCCAACUUCCGAAGGGAAACCCUCACGUUCGAGGUGGUCGGGUUCCGAGGAACCUACCACGUAGUACUGGGGAGGCCAUGCUACGCCAAGUUCAUGGCCGUCCCCAACUACACCUACCUCAAGCUCAAAAUGCCAGGCCCCAACGGGGUCAUCACCGUCGGCCCCACGUACCGACACGCGUACGAAUGCGACGUGGAGUGCGUGGAGUACGCUGAGGCCCUCGCCGAAUCUGAGGCCCGAAUCGCCUACCUGGAGAGCCUCUCCAAGGAGGCACCAGAUGCGAAGCGCCACGCCGGCAACUUCGAGGCAGCAGAGACGGUUAAGUCCAUCCCUCUCGACCCCAGCAACGACGCCUCCAAGAAGAUACGGAUCGGCUCCGAGCUCGACCCCAAAUAGGAAGCAAUGCUCGUCGACUUUCUCCGCGCGAACGCUGAAGUCUUUGCGUGGAGUCCCUCGGACAUGCCUGGCAUACCGAGGGAUGUCGCCGAGCACUCGCUGGAUAUCCGAGCUGGAGCCCGACCCGUGAAGCAGCCUCUGCGCCGAUUCGACGAAGAAAAGCGCAGAGCCAUAGGCGAGGAGAUCCACAAGCUGAUGGCUGCAGGGUUCAUCAAAGAGGUAUUCCAUCCCGAAUGCCUUGCCAACCCUGUGCUUGUGAGAAAGAAAGGAGGGAAAUGGCGGAUGUGUGUAGACUACACUGGUCUAAACAAAGCAUGUCCGAAGGUUCCCUACCCUCUGCCUCGCAUUGAUCAAAUCGUGGAUUCCACUACUGGGUGUGAAACCCUGUCUUUCCUCGAUGCCUACUCAGGGUAUCACCAAAUCAGGAUGAAAGAGUCCGACCAGCUCGCGACUUCUUUCAUCACACCUUUUGGCAUGUACUGCUACGUUACUAUGCCAUUUGGUUUGAGGAAUGUGGGUGCGACAUACCAAAGGUGCAUGAACCACGUGUUCGGAGAGCACAUUGGUCGGACCGUCGAGGCUUACGUCGACGACAUCGUAGUCAAGACGAGGAAAGCCUCCGACCACCUCUCCGACCUUGAAACGACAUUCAAGUGUCUCAAGGCGAAAGGCGUAAAACUCAAUCCCGAGAAGUGCGUCUUCAGAGUCCCCCGAGGCAUGCUCUUGGGGUUCAUCGUCUCCGAGCGGGGCAUCGAGGCCAACCCGGAGAAAAUCGCGGCCGUCACCAACAUGGGGCCCAUCAAGGACUUGAAAGGCGUACAGAGGGUCAUGGGAUGCAUUGUGGCUCUGAGCCGCUUCAUCUCGCGCCUCGGCGAACGAGGCCUACCUCUGUACCGCCUCUUAAGAAAGAUCGAGUGCUUCACUUGGACCCCCGAGGCCGAGGAAGCCCUCGGAAACCUGAAGGCGCUCCUUACGAACGCACCCAUCCUGGUGCCUCCCGCUGCCGGAGAAGCCCUCUUAAUCUACGUCGCCGCUACCACUCAGGUGGUCAGUGCCACGAUCGUGGUCAAAAGACGAGAAGAAGGGCAUGCAUUGCCCGUCCAGAGGCCGGUCUACUUCAUCAGUGAGGUACUGUCCGAGACCAAGAUCCGCUACCCACAAAUUCAUAAGCUGCUGUACGCGGUGAUUCUGACGCGGCGGAAGUUGCGACACUACUUCGAGUCUCAUUCGGUGACUGUGGUAUCAUCCUUCCCCCUGGGGGAGAUCAUCCAGUGCCGAGAGGCCUUGGGUAGGAUUGCAAAGUGGGCGGUGGAAAUCAUGGGCGAGACAAUCUCGUUCGCCCCUCGGAAGGCCAUCAAGUCCCAAGUCUUGGCGGACUUUGUGGCUGAAUGGGUCGACACCCAGCUCCCGGCAGCUCCAGUCCAACCGGAACUCUGGACCAUGUUUUUCGAUGGGUCGCUGAUGAAAACAGGGGCAGGCGCGGGCCUGCUCUUCAUCUCACGCGUCGGGAAGCACCUCCGCUACGUGCUGCGCCUCUAUUUCCUGGCGUCCAACAAUGUGGCCGAGUAUGAGGCUCUGGUUAACGGGUUGCACAUCGCCAUCGAGCUAGGGGUUCGACGCCUCAACGCUCGCGGCGACUCGCAGCUUGUCAUCGACCAAGUCAUGAAGAACUCCCAUUGCCGUGACUCGAAGAUGGAAGCCUACUGUGACGAGGUUCGGCACCUGGAGGACAAGUUCUACGGGCUCGAGGUCAACCACGUCGCCCGGCGGUACAACGAGACUGCGGACGAGCUGGCGAAGAUAGCUUCAGCGUGAACAACGGUUCCUCCGAACAUCUUCUCCCGGGACCUACAUCAACCCUCAGUCAAGACCAACGACACGCCCGAGCCCGAGAAGGUCUUGGCCCAGCCCGAGGCGCCCUCGGCUCAGCCCGAGGCACCCUCGGCCCCCGAGGGUGAGGCACUGCGCGUCGAGGGAGAGCGGAAUGGGGUCCCGCCUGAUCGAGACUGGCAGACCCCGUACCUGCAAUAUCUCCACCGAGGAGAACUGCCCCUCGACCGAGCCGAAGCUCGGCGACUGGCGCGGCGCGCCAAGUCAUUCGUCUUGCUGGGUGACGGGAAGGAGCUCUACCACCGCAGCCCCUCCAGCAUCCUCCAGCGAUGCAUAUCCAUCGCCGAAGGCCAGGAGCUCUUACAAGAAAUACACUCGAGGGCUUGCGGUCAUCACGCAGCGCCUCGAGCCCUUGUUGGAAACGCUUUCCGACAAGGUUUCUACUGGCCGACCGCGGUGGCCGACGCCACUAGAAUUGUCCGCACCUGCCAAGGGUGUCAAUUCUAUGCAAGGCAGACGCACCUACCCGCUCAGGCUCUGCAAACAAUACCCAUCACCUGGCCGUUUGCUGUGUGGGGUCUAGACCUCGUCGGUCCCUUGCAGAAGGCACCCGGGGGCUACGCGCACCUACUGGUUGCCAUCGACAAAUUCUCCAAGUGGAUCGAGGUCUGACCCCUAAACAGCAUCAGGUCCGAACAGGCGGUGGCAUUCUUCACCAACAUCAUCCAUCGCUUCGGGGUCCCGAACUCCAUCAUCACCGACAACGGCACCCAGUUCACCGGCAGAAAGUUCCUGGACUUCUGCGAGGAUCACCACAUCCGGGUGGACUGGGUCGCCGUGGCACACCCCAUGACGAAUGGGCAGGUAGAACGUGCCAACAGCAUGAUUCUGCAAGGACUCAAGCCGAGGAUCUACAACGACCUCCACAAGUUCGGCAGGCGAUGGAUGAAGGAACUCCCCUUGGUGGUCUAGAGCCUGAGGACGACGCCAAGUCAAGCCACGGGUUUCACGCCGUUCUUUCUAGUCUAUGGAGCCGAGGCCAUCUUGCCCACAGACUUAGAAUACGGUUCCCCAAGGACGAGGGCCUACGACGACCGACGCAACCAGACCAACCGAGAAGACUCACUGGACCAGCUAGAAGAGGCUCGGGACGUGGCCUUACUACAGUCGGCGCGGUAUCAGCAGUCCCUGCGACGCUACCACGCCCGAGGGGUUCGGUCCCGAGACCUCCAGGUGGGCGACUUGGUGCUUCGGCUGCGACAAGACGCCCGAGGGCGCCACAAGCUCAUGCCUCCCUAGGAAGGGCCAUUCAUCAUCGCCAAGAUUUUGAAGCCCGGAACAUACAAGCUGGCCAACAUUCAAGGCGAGGUCUACAACAACGCUUGGAACAUCCGACAGCUACGUCGCUUCUACCCUUAAGAUGUUUUCAAGUUGUUCAUACACCUCGUUUACAUAUGAAGUCUAACCAUCAAGGAAGGGUCAGCCUUUCCUCGGCAAAGCCCGACCCUCCCUCGGGGGCUAGAAGGGGGGAACCCCCUCCGCGUCAAAAUUUUCCUCAGAAAAAGUCUUUCUGCGAGAAUAUCUUUCGUGCUUUUCGACUACUUCGGUAGUGGGAUCAUGAAAACGACGGAGUACACGUAAGCAGGCAAGGCCGACCGAGACGAGGGACUCCUACGCCUCCGGGAUACGGAUACCUCACUCAUCGCCUUCUGCGAGAAGUAACUCGCGUUCAGAUGAGCGAUCCUGCUGACCGAACAAGCCUUAACGCUCAAAAGACUUUCUGCCAAAACGGUUUUUCGGGUUUUCUCGGCUACGUCGAUAAUAGAAUCCCGCGGACAAGCAAGAGUACACGUAAGCGGCAAGGUCGACCGAGCCGAGGGAUUCCUACGCCUCCGGGAUACGGAUACCUCACUCAUCACCUUUCGUGAGAAGUAACUCUAGCUCGGAUAAACGAUUCUGCUACCGACGAGCAAGCCCUGAUACUUGAAACAAGAGGAAAAGAAAUGCAGCUUUACAACGCGACGACAGUAUGUUUGGGCCUCGGCGGCCGCAAAAAACAUAUACAUACUACAGGCGAACCGAUCCUGCAGGCUCAGACGUCGAUGGAGGGGGAGCAGCAGCACCCUCGGCAUCGACUCCACCUUCGGCGGAAUCUGACCCGGCCUCGGAUAGCAACAUGGUCAGAGGAUCUCCAACUCAAAGGAAGAUGUCAGCACCACGCUCGGGCCAUUGCCGCCAGGGUCUCCUCCAGGAACCCGGCCCAAGCAGACGGCUCGACCGGCCGCUCCGUGGCCUCAGCCAGCUGUCCCCCGAGGACAUCAGCCCGGCUCGUGGCCUCGACAACUCGACUCCGGCGUUGGUCCCGCCAGUGGACGACCCGGCCAAGCCCCGGCCGACGAAGCUCCCUUUUUCGAGCCAACUCUGCCUCUGUCCGUGCUGGCACCGCUGCCUCCGGCUCUGGCUCAUCGCAGAGCGGCCGAGGGUUCCUUUAACUAAGCAAGAGAAGCCUCGGGCGGCAAGGCCGACUGAGCCGAGGGACUCCUACGCCUCCGGGAUACGGAUACCUCACUCGUCACCUUCCGCACGAGGCAACUCACACUUGGUUAAGCGGUUCAGUUAGCCGACAGGCGAGUCCUAGUGCUCGAAAUGAGAAAAAAAUAUGGUAUUACACCAAAAAUACCUACAUGUUCAGGCCCCGACAACCACAAUGAACAAACACCGACACUCAAGGUGCCAUUACAAACGGAACUCCGGUUCCACUCCCGCAGGUACGAACAACCCCUGGUGGCACGCCGACGCCCGCUCCGGCAGCAGCGACAACGACCUCCGCUCCGAGUGGCCAAACAGCAGCAGCGAUGACCUUAGGGCGGACGCUGCUGCGACGAGCUCCUCGCCCACGUCCCCACUCGAGGGGCGAGGACAAGCUAUCAAAGCCAAAGAGCCGGAGGCCCGGAGCGCGGAUGGUGGCGGCGAUCUUGUCGGCAACGAGGACUUCUUCAGCUGCCACCACCUCAACAUCGACGACGGCAGCCAUCUGCCCACCGGCAGAUCCUCACUCGGAUCCUCCCGGACAGGCGAAGCACCGACCUCCACGCAAGAGGCGUCGUACCGGAGCAAAGGCAGGACAGCCAAAGAACACGAACGCCGCCCUAGCAGCGCGCGACGUCUUGGGCGGCCCUCCGGUGCGCGUGGUGCGGCGACCGCUCGUACGGCGGGAGGGGGCACCGGGAGCCGAGCCAGAGCCAGCUGAGCCAGCGAGCCCAACGCGCUGAAGCUGAUGACGCUCGCGGCCGACCAGCCCCGCGUUGUCGGAGUCCGCCCCUUACGCUAGGCCAGUGAGCACCCUCUCCCAUGAAUGCUGAAGGAGAGGGUGACCCAUGAACUCGUGUGGGAGGUAGAGCUCCGGCUCAGCCCGCCCUUCGCCCCAGCAAGGAUGAUGAAGAUCCUUGAAGCUGAGGGCGGGGUAGAGGCCGCGGCCCGGCUCGCUUCUCCCCACCAUCGAACUGGUGGUCACCGUCUUGGGUGACCACCGGAGAGGGGAUGCAGCCGGGCUGCCUGAUGAAAAUCCUUGAAGCCGAACGAUGGCUGAAAGGUACCAACUUCCGCGAAGUUGCAUUCCUCCAACGACAGCAAGACGAAAGCAACGCGAGCGCUCCCCAUCCGGGGGCUCGGAAGGUGGAAGGGCGCGAUGCAUGAGGAGAGUGCGAAGACAUGGUUGCCGUCCAAGGGGGUCGCUCUCCUUUUAAAGGCAACUCUCCCCACUUGCGUCCUCAGCCGUCGCGGGCUAAGUCUUCACCAACAUGCUCCAAAGUCCUCCCCCCACGACACAGGGGCUGGGUCCCACGCGUCACACAAGCUGGCCUAGGACGGAAGAGGCCAAACCUCCGCGCGCGGUACGCGUAACUGCCCAGCGGUUACAAGCGCUCCUCCACUUUCGCCCAGACCAGCGGGUGAAAGGACGGACCGCCAUGCAGGCGGCAUGCAACUGCACCAAGGGGGCACACCCUUUCGACUUCGACGCGUCCAGCAUGGAGGCCCAGGCGCACACGUCAUGUAACCGGCGCGCCGGUUACUACGUGCGAGAAACUGCACCGCCACUCGCGCCAGUACCGCGCCUUCUCGACUGCGGAACCGGUGCCACGACUCAAGGCGACCCUGCGCAUGGCCCAACAGUGCCAACCAAGCACAUCGAUCACGGGUCAGUCAGCCGCGGGAGAAGGCGCGACGAUCGAUAUGGCCAAAAGUGGGCCGGUAGUAAUGAUGGCGGCAGGCGGGUGGAAGCAGCAGUCAAAUCGCCUGAAGGCUCACGUCCCCUCCUGGGAUAGCGAGAGAGCCCUCUCUCCCACGGCAUGAAGACGACGCACCCGUGUUCCGUUCCUCGAACGGCCCACGCACGCACAACGGCUGCCCUGCCAACCACUCGUCCCAUCGCAUUAACUCUGAGGCAGGGCAGGCGACACCUUUGGCAGGCGAAGCGGGCGACGCUUCACCUCCGCCAUAAUGACCGAGUCAAAAAAGGUGCGCCACGUCGCUCAAUUUCGUAUCCUUUUCCUCUUCCCCUUUCUCUCUCUUGCUACAGGGACCGAGAAAGGGGAUACUCCGAAAGGGAUCCUUCUCCGCGAAGGAAGCGGGCCCCGAGCCCCCCUACUGAUCAGAGGUUCGAAGGCUGGCCCCUCGGAAGGGUUCAACAGCCGCCUCAGAGCACUCGGGCUCCGUGCCCACUACUGGUCAGAGGUUCGAAGGCUGGCCCCUCGGAAGGGUUCAACGGCCGCCUCAGGCCACUUGGGCUCCGCACCCACUACUGAUCAGGGGUUCGUAGGCUGGCCCCCGAAGGGUUCGACAGCCGCCUCAGAGCACGCAAAGCGAGGGAUGACUCUGGGUACGUUCGAUACACAACCAAGGCUCAGGCUAUGCUCCCAAGGUACCCUAGGACAUUUCUGAGACCAGCGGGAGCGAUUUCGUAACGGAAUCCCAUCAGAGGGAGGCAUCGAGCCCUCGGACCCUAUCAAACGGGAUUGGGUCCGGCAAAUCACCUGCAGGUACUUUUGGAGCACGCCUCUGGGCCACUAGCCGACCCUUAUCGAACGGGGCACGGGCGUCCACUCGGAUCACCCGCUAGCAACUCACUGGAGACACCAUGUUCGGCGCCCUCCGAGGGCAACAUGGCGCUUUCCCCCCUCCUCCUUGCGGAAAGGCGACACAGGGGCGUAUGAAAAAAGCUGAGUCUGUCCUUGAUUGUCCUCUCGCUCUGUGCGGAGGCUCGAGGGCUGCUCUCGCAAACCCGGCUCCGGCCAAACCGUUGACAGCGUCAACAUACCAGCCCGAGAACUUGGGACUCGACUAUGCACCCGGGCUAUGGCCAGUUCGCAUGAGGGAACAACCAGACCGGCCGAAGCAUCACGAAACGCGCUAAGACCUUGAAGGAGUCAGACCACUCCUCCGAGGCCUCGGGGGCUACACCCUGCGGGUGCGCUCGCGCGCACCCACCAGAACAAAACGCAACCGAGAAAGGCCGGUCCCCUUGCAAAAACAUGCGACAAAAGCCUCCAAGCGAGUGUCAACACUCCCUUCGAGGCUCGGGGGCUACUGUCGGGGACCAUAAUUAGGGGUACCCCCAAGACUCCUAAUCUCAGCUGGUAACCCCCAUCAGCACAAAGCUGCAAAGGCCUGAUGGGCGCGAUUAAGGUCAAGGCUCAGUCCACUCAAGGGACACGAUCUCGCCUCGCCCGAGCCCAGCCUCGGGCAAAGGCAGCCGACCCCGGAGGAUUCACGUCUCGCCCGAGGGCCCCCUCAAGCAACGGACACACCUUCGGCUCGCCCGAGGCCCAGUCUUCGCAGAGAAGCAACCUUGGCCAGAUCGCCACGCCAACCGACCAUAUCGUUGGAGCAUUUAAUGCAAGGAUCGCCUGACACCUUAUCCUGACGCGCGCUCUUCAGUCGACAGAGCCGAAGUGACCGCAGUCACUUCGCCGCUCCACUGGCCGACCUGACAAGAAAACAGCGUCGCCUGCCCCGCUCCGACUGUCGUGCCACUCGCCAGAGUGAGGUCGACAGUGGCUAAGUCUAGCCUCGGGCGACAUAGGAAGCUCCGCCUCGCCCGACCCCAGGGUUCGGCCCCCGUCUCGGCCUCGGAAGAUGGAUUUCGCCUCGCCCGACCCCAGGGCUCGGACUCAACCACGACUUAGAAGACGACGAACUCCGCCUCGCCCGACCCCAGGGCUCGGACUCAGCCUCGGCUCUGGAAGACGAUGGACUCCGCCUCGCCCGACCCCAGGGCUCGGACACAACCUCGACCUCGGAGGAAUCGCCACCUCGCCCAAACUCGGGUCCGGACCGGCCACGUCGCCAGGGGGGCCAUCAUUACCCUGCCCCUAGCUAGCUCAGGCUACGGGGAACAAGAUCGGUGUCCCAUCUGGCUCGCCCCAGUAAACAAGUAAUGAUGACACCCCGCACGCUCCAUGACGACGGCAGCUCCCAGCCCCUUAUGUCAGCAAGGAUCCGACAGCCCCGACAGCUGUACUUCCGCAGGGCUCCAGCGCUCCUCCGACGGCCACGACAUCACAUGAACAGGGUGCCAAAACCUCUCCGACUGCCACGACGGCAUGUACUUAGGGCUCUAGCUCCUCUCUGCUAGACACAUUAGCACACUGCUACACCCCCCAUUGUACACCUGGACCCUCUCCUUACGCCUAUAAAAGGAAGGUCUAGGGCUCUCGUACGAGAAGGUUGGCCACGCGGGAGAACGGGCCGACGCAUAAGGCUCUCGCUCUCUCUCUCUCCCACGCGAACGCUUGUAACCCCCUACUGCAAGCGCAUCCAUCCGCCCUGGGCACAGGACAACAUGAAGGCCAUGGUUUCCCCUUACUGUUCUCCCCCCUUUGUGUCCCGUCUCGCGCCGACCCAUCUGGGCUGGGACACGCAGCGACAAUUUACUCGUCGGUCCAGGGACCCCCUGGGGUCGAAACGCCGACACAUAUGCUAUGCAAUUUGCUAGUGAUAGGAUAAACCAAACUGCACUGUACUGAUCACAUGGGAUGACACAUGCUAAAAUCAAUAUAACAGUAACUUGCUCGGACCAAUAAUGCCUAACCACUAGAAAUGUUGUUUGUACAUGAUGUCAGUUGAAUGGCCGUACAAGAAAGUAAUAGUCUAUAUCUUAUCUUGUUUAUGUUUAGAUUUAUAUGAGCCAUCAACUUAAUGAUGAUUAACCUUGAUUGCAUCAGCUGAAGUUGGUGCAUAAUAAUUUGAUGUACUUUUUUCUAGGAUGUUCUGGACAAAGAAAGCUUGUACCUUAAAAUAGGAGGAUACAAGAAGCUGGAGUGGUUGUCUGAAGGCUUUUGAACUGCUUGAAGCAUUAGUGUAGCUCUGGAGCUUUUGUGAAUGAUCUAGCUAGCUAUCUGUAAAUGAUUUAGUUGUGAAUGAUAUUAUAAUUGUGAUGCUUUUGCGAAUAUAUAAUUGUGGUGCUUUUGUGUUUAUGUGAUGGAUCUAUGACUGUGGUAUACUGAUUAACUGUGUAUGUCUUUAUGAUUUGUGUAUAAAAAUCUGUGAUUUGUGGUGCUUAAUUAAAUGUAUAUUAUUAUUAAUAACAACUGUAAAAAGGGCGACUUUCUGUUGGUUGCUAAAUGUAUAGUAUGACGACAUACGGUUGGUUGCUAAAUCUAUAGUACAACAACCCACGAUUGGUCGCUAAAUAUACAAUAUUAGCAACAGACGGUCGGUCGCUAAAAAGAUGUCGGUCGCUAAAACUUUUAGCGACGACACUUACAACGACCAUCAUUAUGGGUGGCUAAAAGUUUUUAGCGACCAACCGUAGGUCGCUGAAGGCCGUUUUAGCAACCAAUCGUAGGUCGAUGUAAGUGAACCGUCGUGUAGUGAUUGUCACAGUGUCAUCUGUGUAUUGAAUAUGAAAAAUCCCCUUAGAAAAAUAUCAGAUAAAACCUCAGUAAUGUGCCCUUUCUCAACUCCUGAGUCCAACAUCACACUCAAAGCAUGUGCCACAAGGUUAAAAAAAAGGGGCGACAACAGAUCCCUAUGUCUUAGACCUCUGAAGGUCUUGAAGCCACUCCUUUCCCGUUAACAUUUAAACACACCUUUCCAUUUUCCACAGUACUCAUCACCCAGUCACACCACCUAUCAGGAAUCUUUUUGGUUUUCAUAACCUCAACUAAAAACUCCAAUCGAACCUUAUCGUAGGACUUUUCAAAAUCAAAUUUUAAAAUCAACCCUUUCUUUUUUGCCUUUAGUUCAUGCAGGAUCUCAUGUAAAAUAAUGACUCCUGAGAUAUUCCUAUCUUUCACCAAGCCGGACUGAAUAUUUCCAAUGGCUUCCUUGGUAACCAAAGAAAAUCUAUUAGUGAGCAUUUUAGUGAAGAUCUUAAAAUCCACAUUAAGAAGGCAAAUCGAGCGGAAUUGCUUGAUAGUGAAGGCUUCCUUAAUCUUAGGGACCAAAGUGAUCACCCAAUAAUUCAAUCUCUGAAUAUCCAGAUUCCCUUCAAACAAUCCACGAACAUUCUCAUUAAGUCAUCCUUGACUAAAGGCCGAAAUUCCUUAAAGAAGGAGGCCGCAAACCCAUUUGGGUUAGCAAAUCUAAUCUAAUUACUAUAUAAUAGAUCCGAGAGUAAAACUAGGCUCCGCGUGAGCAGGCCAGUUUGGGCCAAUUUCUAUCUAAGAACAUCGUCAAGUAGGGCUGGGAAAAAAUUGUAACCCGAUACCCAAACCGAAAAUACCCGAACCCAAACCCGAAAUAGUCGAAACCUGAUUUUUUAGGAAUUUGGGUGGCAACUUAUAAAACCCGAGCUUAUUUCGGGUAAUUCAGGUACCAUCCUUUGGUACCCAAAAUACUCAAACUCCCAAGAUUUAUGUCAUUGUUAAUUGUCAAUUUAUGUAUCUAUAGUUAUGUGUAAGUCUGUACAACAAUAUUGAGUUGGGAACUUGAGAUUUUAGGCUGCAUGUGUUUUUAUAUGCAUAUAUAUAUAUACCAUACAUUUUUAUGCUGAUUUGGUAGGGUGUAUGUGUUUUUAUGAAGAUGACACAACACUUCGGGUAGUUCGAGAAUACCCAAACUUGGACCCAAAAUUUCGGGUAAUAUAAAAUUUGUUGCAACUUCGGGUAACGAUUCUCAAAACCCCAUUGUUAUCUUAAACGACUGUUUAGAUCGUUUAAACGACGUUUAAAUGCUACUCGGCACCUAACCGUUUAGGUCGUUUAUCCAUUUAAUCCCAUCCAUUUUUAGUCUGUUUAAACGCCCGUGUAGUCCGAUUAAACGCUAAAUAGAGGAUGAAUGUUUACCGUUUAGUGUUUCGGAUAACACUACAAAACCUAAAUUUUGAAUUACCCAAACAAAGUUUUCGGGUAACCUGAACGUCCACCCCUAGGGUCAAGCAGUGCACUCAGCUUUAUUGUUUUAUUUUCUAUAUUUUCAUAAGAAAAAAUAAUUAUGAAAAUUCUUGUAUAAUUUGUAGUGCAUUGUUUAGAAAAGUUGAAAAUUCUUGUAUAAUUCUUGUAUAAUUUGAUGCUUGCUAAGAAAAGUUGAAUCAAAGUUCAAUAAGUUUUAAGUUCAAAUUUAAGAAUUUUGGUUAAGUUUUUCGGUGCGUAUAAUUGUUUAUUCUAUGUUAAAAUGAAACCAAUGUGGAAGUUUAAUUGAAGAAUAUUAUACAUAUUGAUGCUAAAUUAUUUAAAGGUUAUUCAGAUCUAAUUUUGCCCAAAGGUGUUUUAAAAUUGGAAUAAUUUAAUGUAGUAUUGUGCACAUUUAAUUUAAACAAACAUUAAAUUUUACAUAAACACUUGUUUAAAGUUUGUUAUUUUAUGAAUCAUCACCAAAUAAGAUCGUCAAUUUGUAUACUAGAGCCACUAAAUGGCUCAAAUUAUUCCUCUUGGAGGUAGAAGAUAUACAUGACAUUAGCUUUAGCAGACAUGGACUAUAUUAUUAAGAAUCCUAGGCCUAUUACCCAUAUAAGCAACAGAAGGAAUGUCCAAGCCAGUUAAUAAUGCUACGCUCAUGAGGGCAUAUGAUCUCAAAUGCGUAAAGUGAGAAUGCUGCUCGAGACCGGCACUGCUGGAGUGUGGCAAUGCCGGUUUUGUACAACCCCAAACGACUAGUUUGACAUCCAACGACUAUUUUAGGUUAAGGGAUAUAUAUACCAAUCCCAUGUCCCUUGGGGUUUUAUUGGCGUCCAAACACUUUAAAACUUAUCCUAAGAUAUUUGUGAGCACUCUUUAACAGUGGCGGACCUAGGGUUUUUGUAUACGGUGUGCCACAACAUAAAAUUUUAUGUAGAAUUCUAUUUAAUCUAUAUAUACCAGCUUUAAAAUUCUAUCUAAUGUAAAAUCAACAAUAAAAAAUAGAUAUACCUAUGUUGGAGGGGAGGCGAUGCUUGCUGUUGGUUGUUGCUGAACGAAAGAAGUACAUGAUGAGGCGCAUCAUGUGUGAUUCGCGGGUCGACUGGAGGCCGGGAGGCGGGAGCUCUAGCGUGAAGCUGCACAGGGCUGCCCUGGCUGGGCACGUGGCGGGUGGCGGCGUGUCUUGACGGCCGACGGCGGCACAACGCGUCUCGACAUCUACCGGCUCGGCGGCGGCAGAUGGCGCUUGGGACAGGAGCGGGCGAGCGGCAUGCCAUAGCGCGAGACGGCGUCGCGAUCGUCCUCGUCGAUUCGCCUGGUGCCGAUGCCCUAUCUCCUACUCGUGUAGCAUUAAGGAAGAUGAACUAUCAAGCAAAAUGCCAAAGCUGUAUGAUCCUCUCUCUCUCAUUCGUUCUAUGCGUGGAUAGUGGAAACAGAAGACGAAGCGAACACAAAACACAUGAUCGUGAACAGUCUAAUGGGGCUAGGUAUGCUCUUGGUGG